This 28-nucleotide ribosomal RNA is filed under the name Villarsia goldblattiana. RNAcentral describes it as "partial 26S ribosomal RNA". The record is from RNAcentral. Lineage: Eukaryota; Viridiplantae; Streptophyta; Magnoliopsida; Asterales; Menyanthaceae.
CGACCCCAGGUCAGGCGGGACUACCCGC